UUUAAUGAGAGUUUGAUCCUGGCUCAGGACGAACGCUGGCGGCGUGCCUAAUACAUGCAAGUAGAACGCUGAAGGAGGAGCUUGCUUCUCUGGAUGAGUUGCGAACGGGUGAGUAACGCGUAGGUAACCUGCCUGGUAGCGGGGGAUGACUAUUGGAAACGAUAGCUAAUACCGCAUAACAAUGGGUGACUCAUGUCA
RNAcentral lists this ribosomal RNA (198 nucleotides) under Streptococcus pseudopneumoniae. Its description in RNAcentral is "partial 16S ribosomal RNA". It matches the Rfam family "Bacterial small subunit ribosomal RNA", at positions 1 to 195 of the family's 1533-position model. The record is from RNAcentral. Lineage: Bacteria; Bacillati; Bacillota; Bacilli; Lactobacillales; Streptococcaceae.